UAGGCUUGCGUCUGAUUAGCUAGUUGGUGUGGUAAUGGCACACCAAGGCUACGAUCAGUAACUAGGUCUGAGAGGAUGAGUCAGUCACACUGGAACUGAGACACGGUCCAGACUCCUACGGGAGGCAGCAGUGAGGAAUAUUGGGCAAUGCACGAAAGUGUGACCCAGCAACGCCGCGUGGAGGAUGAAGGUAUUCUAUAUCGUAAACUCCUGUGAGAGCAGACGAAAGACAGAUUAUUAAUUUGGAUGACUGUAUGCUCAGAGGAAGCCCCGGCUAACUACGUG
Molecule: ribosomal RNA, 285 nt
Filed under: uncultured bacterium
Lineage: Bacteria
Description: partial 16S ribosomal RNA
Rfam family: Bacterial small subunit ribosomal RNA
Source: RNAcentral